UUCACCCAAUUGAAGGUAACUGCAUGCAAAUGCAACACCUAAUCUCAACUCCCCGCACCCAAAUUUCCCAUAGCCGAUCCAAGAAGAAUCGCUCAUCAAUUGUCACCAAGUUUCUAAUGAAGGUUUCCCCUACAAUGGAGCCAACCUUGAUAAACACAGCUGGAUAGCCAACUGGAGCGUCUACCUUAAUUUCGCAACCGAGUUUAGCAUAUACCUCCCCUGUCCAUAUAUGUUGCCAUGAAGAACUGUCAUCUAAAGGAAAGUAGGCUUUGACAUAGUUCUUGCCUUUGUCAAGGACUGGCACAACUAGGAUCUCAGAACCAACUAAAAACUGCUGGUGACCUAAUGUAAGCACGUACUCAUCUUCUGGGUAGUGAACAAAUAGGUGGCGGCAUACAGGUAGGCCUCUUUGAGCGGCUUCCUGUAUUGUUUCGUGACCCAGAACAGAGGAAAAAGAUCACCAGAUCUGUGUGGAAUUUGAAACUAUGGAAGUUGCAGAUAGAAUAUAAAAGGUUGCAUAUUUACCUUCACAAGUUGGAUUCUAUAAAACUUCCAAGCACUAUAGACCUUAGCAAAGCGAGCAAACUGCGACAAUGUUCGAUUGUUUGAGUAGAAUUGGCUGUUGCAGGAUGGUUUGUUUCCCUAUAUACAGAGACAGUUGAAAAUAGUGCUUUAACAAGACUGAGUAUGUUGAAAAUUUGUAGAGGAUAAUAAUACUCUGAUGCAAGCUUUAUAUGGUUAUAGACGUAUAUACGAUAAUUCAGUCUUCCCAAAAUGAAGCUGAUUUGUACAUAAUGCUUGGUGCAGGUUAAGCUUCUAUAUGUUUGGUGAAUUUUACUGAGGAUAAAAAUCUUGACACCUUGCUUCUUAUGCAUUUAGGGUUUCAUGUGUCAACUGAAAAUUUGAUGUCAAACAUAGGGAGCGUUUGGCCCCGUAAAUGGAGUUAAUAAGUCUGGGUUAAUAUGUUGGAGUUGGGUGUAGAGUUGUAAAAUGAGGCUAAUAUGUCGGAAUUAGUAAGUUUAAAUUUGGGGUGUAGAGUUCUAAAAUGGAUUUCAUAAAUGUGAAAAAAAGAUUAAGAAGGAAUGAUGAAUUUCUCUAUAAAUGUAAAAAGUAGAGAUGGAAAGUUGAAGUUUCUUGGUAGAUGUGAAAGUAUAAUAAGAAAAUGAACUUAAUAAAUAUGCACCUUCAAUAGUGUUUGUUUACUUCUUUUUCAGGUUUUGGUUCUAGUCAGAGAAAGGGACAGAGAAAACAGAAGAAGGAAAAAAUUAAGGUUGGUUUCUAACUUACUUCAUGGGUUCUGAAAACAGUGGUAAAGGCAUUUAACUCCAUCCAUCGUAGAAGCAGCUCCUCACUUCUUCGGUAUUUGAUGAACGGUAAAUUUACUGCGCAGUACCCUCCUAUAUCACUGUGAUUAAAAGCAUAGCCCGAAAGUCCACUGCUCAAAAGGCCAGUAACAGCACUCUUUAUCCCAUCAUUGGCUUGCCAACUUACCAUUUGGUCACCUUCCCAAAAUAGCAUCCCCCAUUUGGGACUGUUUCUGAAACCAGCUCUCAUGAAGAAAACUAAGGCCUCUUGUGGGUCUUCUUUCUCCUUACCAACAAGCUUACUUUUCCAUUCAUCUACAAAUUCUCUGUUAAUCUGCGCCCAUAUUUCUGGAUAUCUAUUAUGCGCAGUAAUAGGAUCUUCACCUGAAAUUAUGGUUCUUAAUCUGUGAGUAAUAUUAAUAUCCCACAGAAGAAAAGUAUGCAAUUCUGAUUAAAGUAAAUUUAAAGUAUUUUAGUGAAUAUCAAUUACAUCCAUUUACACCAGAUCUGUAUCAGCUUCUUGUUCAGGAUGUAGACACGAGUAUAUUGAAAAAAAAAAAAAGAAAAAAAAAAAAAACUAGAGAGUCUGGAACUCAUUUUUGCUUUUGGGAAUUACAAAAAUUUCAAGUCCAUCUCGACUUGGAGAUAUGUUCAAAGAAGCAUUUAAGAUUGAUCACAAUGCAUAUCACUCCUUCCUUUUCCGCCCAUCUCUUACCAAGAAAACAAAUUCUUGAUUUCUAUGAAGCAGUUGAAAUUUUUAGUGAUAAAUUUUUUUAAGAAAAAAAGACUCUUCAACAAUUGAUUUUGAGAAAAUCAAUGUAACAAGUCCCCCUUUAAGUAUAAGAUAUUAUACUACUUAGGUAGUUAUUUUGAAAUUGAGUACAAAUGAUGACAUUGAACUGUAAAUAUUUUCUUAGUAUAACCUGAAUAGAGGGUGGCAUCUACAGGCAAGCCUUCGCCGAAAUCAGCCAUCCAUCCUCUCACACCAUCAUCCACCAUUUCUUGUAGAAUUUCCUUGAACCAACUGGAAGUAUUUGGGUGCGUAAGAUCCAACAUUCCCACAUCAAAAGCUGUGUUGGGAACCAUGUAGGGUUCUCCAUUUUUCUUCUUUACCAAGAUCCCCAACGCCUUUGCUUCCUCAUAAAGAUUUCUCCUUCUGUUCUGCUUCUCAUCAGUCUGAAGUCGUACAAAUUUGAAACAGAAAUGAUCAGUCUUCCCUCUUUUAUCUCUGUUCAUUUAGUUAGCCAUUAAGAAGGCAGUGUAUAUGUCUAGGUGGAAAAGAGGAAAAGAAAGAAAAGUAAACAAAGAUGCCAUGCUUUUAACAUGCAAGCGUAGUCGAUAUUUCUGAUUUGGGGAUUGCAGAAGGAUUGAGAGAGUGGAAGAAGAAAAUACCGGUGCUAGGCAGGGAUUGCAGUAUGUCAUUACUUUUAUAUGCCGAGCUCCAAGAUCUUUAAUUAAUUGUUUCCAUCCAGAGUAUCUUGUUGCGUCAACUUCCCAGUUCCACCACAACUGUGAUCCAAUUACUGUUUCUCUCUGCCCUACCCAAUCCUAUAUAAUAUUCAUCUUUUAGAUAAGGAAUAAAUCUAAAAGAAUGUGUAUACACUUUAGAAAAAUUAUAUUAUUAUGAAAGCAUGUAAUAAAUACUAUAUAUCUGUGCAUCAGUUUUUGGAUUUGGUUUGAUCUACAGUACAAGAUGCUUAAUUUGAUCCAGAAAUGUAUUACUAACUUUUGGAAAUAAAAAACUUGUAUUACCUGCAACCAAAAUGCAGAAAUGGGAACUUCAUGAGCUUUUAGCUCAUCCCAGAUUUUUCUUACGAUAUUGGUCCCACCUUGCAUCCCUACAACCGCACCUGAUAUUAUCCAUCCAGGAAGCUCUGGAGGCCUCCCAAUGGUCUCAGUGAAACAUUCGAUAAGCUCUGAAGGUUGGUGAAAAGCAGUGAAGAGAAUAGUUAUUAAAAGUGUACCUGAAUCUGAACUCUAUCAUUCUUUGUCAGAUCAAAUAUAGAGUACUCAUAUCCUUCAAGGUACAGAGACCUCAUUUUGGAUGUCAUGUAAAAUGGAGAAGGAGCAUAUGUAGUACUCCAAUCACCUCCAGCCCUGAAGUGAAAGAAACUCCCAAACUUAGUUUUAGAAUUAAGAAGAUCGAUACGUGUACCUUUUGUUUGUUAAUAACAUGUUUUGAAGUGAUUCAAAAUGGUUAAAAUCACUUUUGUUAUUUUACACCAAAA
This is a long non-coding RNA of Cucumis melo (muskmelon), 3532 nucleotides long. RefSeq lists it as uncharacterized. The record is from RefSeq and is a predicted model, not a curated record. Lineage: Eukaryota; Viridiplantae; Streptophyta; Magnoliopsida; Cucurbitales; Cucurbitaceae. The transcript is spliced from 3 exons.